CAAAGAGGAGAAUGCCUUUUCGGUGAGAUUUUUAAUAUAUCUAAAAGAGAAUAUGAUUCUAUCUUAUUGGAAUCAACUUUGUUAGGUAUAGUUCGAUCCAUGAUGAAGUUUUCAAGUCUGUCAGUCUCCUUUUAGGAUUAUGCUCUUAAGACUACUUGUUAUGUUCUGAGCUGGAUUUCAAAUUAAUCAGUUGCGAAGUCUCCAUAUGAGAUAUGG
This 216-nucleotide long non-coding RNA is filed under the name Elaeis guineensis (African oil palm). Its description in RNAcentral is "long non-coding RNA (EGUI_LNC062937)". The record is from RNAcentral. Lineage: Eukaryota; Viridiplantae; Streptophyta; Magnoliopsida; Arecales; Arecaceae.